RNAcentral lists this ribosomal RNA (433 nucleotides) under uncultured bacterium. RNAcentral's name for it is "partial 16S ribosomal RNA". It matches the Rfam family "Bacterial small subunit ribosomal RNA", at positions 29 to 507 of the family's 1533-position model. The record is from RNAcentral.
AACGAACGCUGGCGGCAUGCCUAACACAUGCAAGUCGAACGAGACCUUCGGGUCUAGUGGCGCACGGGUGCGUAACGCGUGGGAACCUGCCCUUAGGUUCGGAAUAACUCCCCGAAAGGGGUGCUAAUACCGGAUAAUGUCUUCGGACCAAAGAUUUAUCGCCUUUGGAUGGGCCCGCGUUGGAUUAGCUAGUUGGUAGGGUAAAAGCCUACCAAGGCGACGAUCCAUAGCUGGUCUGAGAGGAUGAUCAGCCACACUGGGACUGAGACACGGCCCAGGCUCCUACGGGAAGCAGCAGUGGGGAAUAUUGGACAAUGGGCGAAAGCCUGAUCCAGCAAUGCCGCGUGAGUGAUGAAGGCCUUAGGGUUGUAAAGCUCUUUUACCCGGGAUGAUAAUGACAGUACCGGGAGAAUAAGCUCCGGCUAACUCCGUG